AGCACGGGGGCAACCCUGGUGGCGAGUGGCGAACGGGUGAGUAAUAUAUCGGAACAUAUCCGGAAGUGGGGGAUAACGUACCGAAAGGUACGCUAAUACCGCAUAUGCCCUGAGGGGGAAAGCGGGGGAUCGUAAGACCUCGCGCUUUCGGAGUGGCCGAUAUCAGAUUAGCUAGUUGGUGAGGUAAAGGCUCACCAAGGCGACGAUCUGUAGCUGGUCUGAGAGGACGACCAGCCACACUGGAACUGAGACACGGUCCAGACUCCUACGGGAGGCAGCAGUGGGGAAUUUUGGACAAUGGGCGCAGGCCUGAUCCAGCCAUGCCGCGUGAGUGAAGAAGGCCUUCGGGUUGUAAAGCUCUUUCAGCCGGAAAGAAAACGCACGGGAUAAUACCUUGUGUGGAUGACGGUACCGGAAGAAGAAGCACCGGCUAACUACGUGCCAGCAGCCGCGGUAAUACGUAGGGUGCGAGCGUUAAUCGGAAUUACUGGGCGUAAAGCGUGCGCAGGCGGUUUUGUAAGUCAGAUGUGAAAGCCCCGGGCUUAACCUGGGAAUGGCGUUUGAAACUGCAAGGCUAGAGUGUGUCAGAGGGGGGUAGAAUUCCACGUGUAGCAGUGAAAUGCGUACAGAUGUGGAGGAAUACCGAUGGCGAAGGCAGCCCCCUGGGAUAACACUGACGCUCAUG
This 685-nucleotide ribosomal RNA is filed under the name uncultured bacterium. RNAcentral describes it as "bacterial SSU rRNA". It matches the Rfam family "Bacterial small subunit ribosomal RNA", at positions 71 to 751 of the family's 1533-position model. The record is from RNAcentral.